GAUGAACGCUGGCGGCGUGCCUAAUACAUGCAAGUCGAGCGAACAGAUGAGGAGCUUGCUCCUCUGACGUUAGCGGCGGACGGGUGAGUAACACGUGGAUAACCUACCUAUAAGACUGGGAUAACUUCGGGAAACCGGAGCUAAUGCCGGAUAAUAUUUUGAACCGCAUGGUUCUAUAGUGAAAGAUGGUUUUGCUGUCACUUAUAGAUGGAUCCGCGCCGCAUUAGCUAGUUGGUAAGGUAACGGCUUACCAAGGCAACGAUACGUAGCCGACCUGAGAGGGUGAUCGGCCACACUGGAACUGAGACACGGACCAGACUCCUACGGGAGGCAGCAGUAGGGAAUCUUCCGCAAUGGGCGAAAGCCUGACGGAGCAACGCCGCGUGAGUGAUGAAGGUCUUCGGAUCGUAAAACUCUGUUAUUAGGGAAGAACAAAUGUGUAAGUAACUAUGCACGUCUUGACGGUACCUAAUCAGAAAGCCACGGCUAACUACGUG
This 497-nucleotide ribosomal RNA is filed under the name uncultured bacterium. Its description in RNAcentral is "partial 16S ribosomal RNA". It matches the Rfam family "Bacterial small subunit ribosomal RNA", at positions 28 to 507 of the family's 1533-position model. The record is from RNAcentral.